RNAcentral lists this ribosomal RNA (476 nucleotides) under uncultured bacterium. RNAcentral describes it as "bacterial SSU rRNA". It matches the Rfam family "Bacterial small subunit ribosomal RNA", at positions 28 to 469 of the family's 1533-position model. The record is from RNAcentral.
GGCGAACGCUGGCGGCGUGCCUAAUACAUGCAAGUCGAACGCACUCUCGUUUAGAUUGAAGGAGCUUGCUCCUGAUUGAUAAACAUUUGAGUGAGUGGCGGACGGGUGAGUAACACGUGGGUAACCUGCCCUAAAGUGGGGGAUAACAUUUGGAAACAGAUGCUAAUACCGCAUAAAACCUAACACCGCAUGGUGUAGGGUUGAAAGAUGGUUUCGGCUAUCACUUUAGGAUGGACCCGCGGUGCAUUAGUUAGUUGGUGAGGUAAAGGCUCACCAAGACCGUGAUGCAUAGCCGACCUGAGAGGGUAAUCGGCCACACUGGGACUGAGACACGGCCCAGACUCCUACGGGAGGCAGCAGUAGGGAAUCUUCCACAAUGGACGAAAGUCUGAUGGAGCAACGCCGCGUGAGUGAAGAAGGUUUCGGAUCGUAAAACUCUGUUGUUGGAGAAGAAUGUAUCUGAUAGUAACUGAUCA